UACGUAGGGGGCAAGCGUUGUCCGGAAUCAUUGGGCGUAAAGAGCGUGUAGGCGGCCCGAUAAGUCCGCUGUGAAAGUCCAGGGCUCAACCCUGGAAUGCCAGUGGAAACUGUCGGGCUAGAGUCCGGAAGAGGCGAGUGGAAUUCCUGGUGUAGCGGUGAAAUGCGCAGAUAUCAGGAGGAACACCAAUGGCGAAGGCAGCUCGCUGGGACGUGACUGACGCUGAGACGCGAAAGCGUGGGGAGCAAACAGG
Molecule: ribosomal RNA, 253 nt
Filed under: uncultured bacterium
Lineage: Bacteria
Description: partial 16S ribosomal RNA
Rfam family: Bacterial small subunit ribosomal RNA
Source: RNAcentral